AUGGGCAGCUCCCGGGGCACUUGGCCUCGCAAGGUGCUCACUGCUGUUACUCUCUCCUCUCCAGCAUGCGUGUUCUGUGGCCGAAUGGACGAGGACUCGUGCAUCCUUGGCCGCAGACGUCAGGGAUAUGGGCUCUCCUUCCAUUCUUUCUGUAUGGUGAGUUCCCUUCUGCCUCCUUCCUCUUCCUCCUUCCUCCAAGGAAUGGUCUCUCUUUCAGUCCUAACAAGGUCACACUCUUUCCUCUUGUACAGGGUAUUUGCCAAUGGUCUUUAUCGACCAGGAGCAAAUAACGGAAAUGCCCGUUUUCAUAUAGAAGACCUGAUAUGUACAGUGACGGAGGCAGAGAAGAUGGUGAGCACUGGAUCGGAACAGGGAGCUUGGUGCCAGGAGAGCUUAUCCUGGCCCCAUGAAAGCAAUCCCAGCCCCUCCUCCCAGCUCCAGGAGAAACUCCUGCUCUUGCAGACGAGCCCUGUUCACCAGGCAGCUCUGCAGAGUGCACCCAGCCCUGCCCGCAUCCUGCGCCAUGCCCAGAGGUGCGGGGCCUGCUGCUUAGGCCCUGAGCCUGCAUCUGAUGGGGGCUGCUCUGCUCUUUCCAGCUCUGCUUCGUUUGUGGCAAUUCAGGGGCCACCGUCAUCUGUGCAGAACGGGGAUGUGAGCGGAGAUUCCAUCUCCCCUGCGCCCCUGAGGGUCAAUGCAUCACCCAGUACACUGGAGCACUCAGGUAAGGGCUGCCAGGUGUGGCCUGUGGGCCUCCAACCCUGCAGUCAGCACCAGCCAAAGCAGCGAGGAACGCGCGCUGCGACACCUCCCAGCAGCCUGACAGAGCCAGAGCCAUGGCCUGGGGCUCCUUCCUGUUCCUCGGCCCUCCUCACAGCCCUUCUCACCUCUUCCAUCCCUUCCAUCUUCCCCCAGGACAUUCUGCUGGGAGCACCGCCCGCAGCAGGCAGUGCAGGCAGCACCGGCACCAAACACGACCUGCGUCAUCUGUAUGGAGCCUGUAGAUGA
RNAcentral lists this long non-coding RNA (1005 nucleotides) under Coturnix japonica (Japanese quail). Its description in RNAcentral is "lncRNA (ENSCJPG00005000803.1)". The record is from RNAcentral. Lineage: Eukaryota; Metazoa; Chordata; Aves; Galliformes; Phasianidae.